RNAcentral lists this long non-coding RNA (1019 nucleotides) under Agrilus planipennis (emerald ash borer). Its description in RNAcentral is "uncharacterized LOC112904557, transcript variant X2". Lineage: Eukaryota; Metazoa; Arthropoda; Insecta; Coleoptera; Buprestidae. The record is from RNAcentral.
AAAAAUAUUACUCUGCCUUCAAAAAUUCUAUAUUUCUGUUAUAAAAAUUUUCAUUUUUGCCUUGUUAUUCUAGAGUUUGGAUUUUAACUUGUUUUUUUUUUUUUUAAUAAUACAGGCUUGCUGUGUGAUAACAACCUAGGAUUGGAUGGACAAACUACUUACAGAUGUAAUGUCUGUGACAGUGUGACUUAUUUUAUUUCCAAAAAUGCCUCUAAUGAGCUGAUUGAAAAAUUCAUUGGACAUUGUUAACAAUGGUUUCCAUUAAAAAAUAAAGAUGAACAUAAGGAGGUAAAUCAAAAGGACUUGAAACGUGGAGAAACAGAGCCCCACUCAUACUUUCCCCUUUUGGACUUGGAAAGGACAGUUGUAUUUAUGAAAUGGUUAUCAUUUAAACACGUUAAAUGAACAAGGAGACAAGUCAGAAGGAUUCGAAACGUGGAGAAAUGAAGCCCCUUAAAUGUUUUUUAGAAAAAAACAUGCAGUCCAAUUCACACUGAUGUAUAUAAGGUUGCGCACGUGAUUUGUGUCUUCUGCUCUGUGGCUCAUUUCACUAUCGAUGGUAUCAUUAUUCCUUUCAAAAGUAUCUAUUGUUAGAAGCACUCUCUGCUGUCAACGCUUAGGAAUAAAACUCGAGCACCUUCGGUAAUCCUCGGGAUUGUUCAACAAAUGGGAAAGAAAUAAAGUUCAGUUUGGUCCUACUGAAACAACCAAUGUCUACAUGGGCAUCAUCUUUCUUGGAUUGAUCUCUUGAUUAGCUGUUUACAUCUUUGCCUUGCAACAUUAGAGCAAUUGGAGAUUAAUUUAAAUUCCAUAGAAACAACAAAAUUUUUGGUAUGGUAUUCCUGCCGGAUUUGUUUUGUUUUAACACCUGCAAAGUUUGGGAUGUUACAAUCUACAUUUAAUUAAGAUCAACGCUGGAGAAGACAAAGAUGACCCCGUAGUUGAAAUAGUUUUUUAUCCUGCAUGCUCUAGAAAUUAUUAAGUUGAUUUUAUUCAAAUUAAUUUUUUAUUUUGCAUGU